RNAcentral lists this long non-coding RNA (3071 nucleotides) under Lynx pardinus (Iberian lynx). The record is from RNAcentral. Lineage: Eukaryota; Metazoa; Chordata; Mammalia; Carnivora; Felidae.
CUGCGCCUCUGUGUUCUUCAGGUCGGAACUCUCCUUUCAUACUCUGCACAAAGGCUUGGGCUAGCCAGCUUCAUUCAUGUGUUUACUCAACAGUUAUUAAGGGUUUGUUACACUGGGAAUUUGAGAGGAGGAAGACGCAUCCCUGACCUUAAGCAGCUCACGGUUUCAGCAGGGAUGAAGUCACAUAGACAGCAACAUAAUGGCAGGGGGAAGCAGUGGAGUGGCUGGGACACGGGGAGAGGCCCUGGGCCCAGUCAGAAGAGGGGGCCAGGGUCCGGGGCGGAGCAAUCCCUCUCUGGAGACUUACUGCAUGUCAGAAAGGGGGAGAUGGUUUUCUAAGUGAAGCGGGCAGUUUCACCAGGGGAGCAGAGAUUCUGUCCCUCGCUUCAAUAAAGGACAUUCCCUUGUUGGAAAGUCACAGUUGACUUAGCUGCAGGAGCAGAGCUCUUCCCUCUCUAGGUUGCAGAGUUCUGGACUCCCUUCUCUAUGUUCAGGUCGAAGGACUGAGUCUAAAGCGCCACUGAAUUCCUCACUCAGGUUUUUUUCUCAACAGACACGUGCAAUUCUGAAGGCCUGCCGGCCGCACCAAAGAGCUUCUCCCAAGAAGUCCUGGGCCGGGUAGAGGCAGCUGCGAAAGGGGAGGAGUGUUCUGUUUUGGACCAAAAAACACGACUCAAAUGAGGCUGACGAUACCCAAAGUACAGAGACUGCAUAGAGGAGUCACUGUCCCUCUAUCAUGUGUCAUAAUAUUAAAUGUCAUAACAGGGCAGACAAAAAGAUCCAUGGAGGGACAUGUACCCGGCCCUGCCACAUAGGCUCCCGGAUGGUCUACUGCAGGUCUCUGAGCUUCACGGUUUUCGUACAUAACACAGGGCUUGAGGGCAUCCCCACAUCCCCUGUGGUGGUGAGAAUUAGGUGGGAUGACAGCGGGAGGGGCCUGGGGCUUGGCACAGAGGGGAUCUCAACACAUGCCUGGUGUGACCCUCUUCCUUCCAGCCUACUCACCAGAGAGCCCCCCAACUCGUUAAUAACCCAACCCCUCCCCUCAGAAAUGUUGGUCUUUUCCCAAAAGUGACGAUUCCAGUUUGAUCAUUUUCUGCCUCCUGAUACACCCCAACGUGCUCCUCCCCAGGCUCCUCGGUGGGGUGCUUCUUGACACGCCUUUGUUGGGUCCCUGCGCACCGAGUGCAGGGAAGGAGGGGCGAGCUGUGGUUCCAGGAGCAGGGGUGAAGCCUGUGGGCCUCCCAGCUCCAUUUCUGUCUCCUCCUUGCCUGACAGAGCCAUAGCCGAUGCUCUCACCAGGUCACUUAAUUUCCCCACCGCCAUGACCUUCGCUUGGCCGGUUUUGGAACAAUGCGUGCCCUCACGUUAACAAGCGUUUGUUUCUUCCUGCCUGCGCUGAGCCUGUCUACCUUUGAAGAGAAAUCACAAGAGUUGUCACUGCUAUGCUCUUUACCCUCUGAAUGGAACGGCUCCAGCUCUGAUGUUACCUCAUUUAUAAUUAUCUUAGGGAUCUCUCCUGGAUGGUGGUGGCAGAGGAGGAUUUCUAAUUCGCCCCCUUACAAUGUUUUGCAAAUAAGCUCCCAGAACCAGGUCCAUUUUAUUGUCUUCUAUUUUAAAUAGAUUUUUUUUAGUGCGCAUCCAAUGAAAAGCCUAUUUAAACACCUGUACUCUCUCAUAUAAUGGUGAUGGGGGGAAAAAAAUCCAAAAGAAGUGGAGGCCACAGAAAUCUUUUAGACGGCAGUGCUUGGACAGAAAUCCUUUCCUUUCCGUUCCCACCGUCGCCCUUGGGGUGAGGCCGUAUCAGCUCGUACAGGACCUUAGCAAGAGCUUCAUGCUGGUUUCCCAGCCUCCGGGCUGUUUCCCUCGCAGUCUGUGUUGCUCCCGCCAGUAUCUCAGGCAUCACGAGACAUGUCAGCUCCGAGUUUCCCAAUAGCUUUUCAGUGAUUGCAGGAUAAAUUCCAUCCUUCUUACCCAGACAUUCGAGGUGCUUUACUAUCUGGGUCCUCCUGACCUUCCAGGGCCCCCACUGCUAUCAAAUGGGUCUACUUCUUAUCCCAUGAUAGCCCUGCAAUUGCUUCAUUUUGUGCCCGAGUUAUCGAUCCUUCUAUAUCCCCCCUGUUCAGAAAUCCUUCCUCUCCUCGGUGGGGGCAAAUCCUACCCAUGUCCUCUGACUCCUGAGCUGAAAGCACAGUCCCCGCCCAGAGAUAUGCAUGGGGUUAUCACUUUGCACUCUGCUUCCCUUUGCCCAAUAUGGGUGCCCCUUGUCCCCGCUCUUCCUUUCCGUUCAGCUCCUUCGUAGUCCGCUUUCUUCGCAAACCCAGAAAAGACUUGAUGUCUCAGAGGUAUUGCUGUCUGCUGCACCCUGUGUCCAGGCACAUUUUUACAUGGUUUCAUAGUCUCGUCUCUCACACUAUGCACCUACCCCCCAGACACAAGUGGGCAGGUAAGGAGAGCAGGAGUCCUGGUGUUUACAGCAUAGCUACUGUGUGUUGCACAUGGGCACAUUUAGAUACAUCUAAAUUUACCUACAAAUUUGUCUGGAAGUGUUUUGUGCCACACUUUCCAAUGAGUGAACUGAAGUUCAGAGGGACUUAAUGACCUUCCCAAAGACAGUUUGAUGCUGGACAUGGAACCAAAGAGAGAAAAAAAAAAUUGUGGCAUGGAGCUUGUUAGGCCAGGCUUCACAGAUGUGGUAGGAUCUGAGCCAGAGCCUGGUCUGGUGGGCAGGAUGCAAGAGCACUGUGAGUGUGAACGGCAUCACAAAGAUUUCAGAGUCAACGUGACAAUGUGAUCAUUCACGGCUUCUAGAGAUUGUACCCAAUCUCCCUUAAGAAUGAAGUAUUCAAGUUAAUUGCCUGGUUUUGAGCAUGCAAACACUGAAAUUGUGCCAGAAGGGCCACAGUUCAGGGGUAAGUGAACUUUACUGCAGCAUGGUAAGAACAGAAUAAAUGCUGACAAAGAAGCAGAGAUUUUUAAAUUUUCACUGCAGGUCAAAAGAGGGCUCCUAACACAAGAUGGCUGAAAUUGAGCAAACACACAGUCCCAGAUGGUUUCAGACAGCGGGAUAA